Molecule: ribosomal RNA, 1381 nt
Filed under: Microbacteriaceae bacterium
Lineage: Bacteria; Bacillati; Actinomycetota; Actinomycetes; Micrococcales; Microbacteriaceae
Description: bacterial SSU rRNA
Rfam family: Bacterial small subunit ribosomal RNA
Source: RNAcentral
GGCAAUGGCGCGUGCUUACACAUGCAGUCGAACGAUGAACUUCGGGUGUUAGUGGCGAACGGGUGAGUAACACGUGAGUAACCUGCCCUUGACUCUGGGAUAACCUCCGGAAACGGAAGCUAAUACCGGAUAUGACGUACGGAGGCAUCUCCUGUACGUGGAAAGAAUUUCGGUCAAGGAUGGACUCGCGGCCUAUCAGGUAGUUGGUGAGGUAACGGCCCACCAAGCCUACGACGGGUAGCCGGCCUGAGAGGGUGACCGGCCACACUGGGACUGAGACACGGCCCAGACUCCUACGGGAGGCAGCAGUGGGGAAUAUUGCACAAUGGGCGCAAGCCUGAUGCAGCAACGCCGCGUGAGGGACGACGGCCUUCGGGUUGUAAACCUCUUUUAGUAGGGAAGAAGCGAAAGUGACGGUACCUGCAGAAAAAGCUAACUACGUGCCAGCAGCCGCGGUAAUACGUAGGGUGCAAGCGUUGUCCGGAAUUAUUGGGCGUAAAGAGCUCGUAGGCGGUUUGUCGCGUCUGCUGUGAAAUCCCGAGGCUCAACCUCGGGCCUGCAGUGGGUACGGGCAGACUAGAGUGCGGUAGGGGAGAUUGGAAUUCCUGGUGUAGCGGUGGAAUGCGUUGAUAUCAGGAGGAACACCGAUGGCGAAGGCAGAUCUCUGGGCCGUAACUGACGCUGAGGAGCGAAAGCGUGGGGAGCGAACAGGAUUAGAUACCCUGGUAGUCCACGCCGUAAACGUUGGGAACUAGAUGUGGGGACCAUUCCACGGUCUCCGUGUCGCAGCUAACGCAUUAAGUUCCCCGCCUGGGGAGUACGGCCGCAAGGCUAAAACUCAAAGGAAUUGACGGGGGCCCGCACAAGCGGCGGAGCAUGCGGAUUAAUUCGAUGCAACGCGAAGAACCUUACCAAGACUUGACAUAUACGAGAACGGGCCAGAAAUGGUCAACUCUUUGGACACUCGUAAACAGGUGGUGCAUGGUUGUCGUCAGCUCGUGUCGUGAGAUGUUGGGUUAAGUCCCGCAACGAGCGCAACCCUCGUUCUAUGUUGCCAGCACGUAAUGGUGGGAACUCAUAGGAGACUGCCGGGGUCAACUCGGAGGAAGGUGGGGAUGACCUCAUGCCCCUUAUGUCUUGGGCUUCACGCAUGGCCGGUACAAAGGGCUGCAAUACCGUGAGAGCGAAUCCCAAAAAGCCGGUCUCAGUUCGGAUUGAGGUCUGCAACUCGACCUCAUGAAAGUCGGAGAUGUAAUCGCAGAUCAGCAACGCUGCGGUGAACCCGUUUCCGGGCCUUGUACCAGACCGCCCGUCAAGUCACCCAAGUCGGCUCACCCGAAGCCGGUGGCCUAACCCUUGGGAAGGAGCCGUCGAAGGUGAU